UCCUGGCUCAGAUUGAACGCUGGCGGCAUGCCUUACACAUGCAAGUCGAACGGCAGCACGGGAGCUUGCUCCUGGUGGCGAGUGGCGAACGGGUGAGUAAUACAUCGGAACGUACCCAGGAGUGGGGGAUAACGUAGCGAAAGUUACGCUAAUACCGCAUAUUCUGUGAGCAGGAAAGCGGGGGAUCGCAAGACCUCGCGCUCUUGGAGCGGCCGAUGUCGGAUUAGCUAGUUGGUGAGGUAAAAGCUCACCAAGGCGACGAUCCGUAGCAGGUCUGAGAGGAUGAUCUGCCACACUGGGACUGAGACACGGCCCAGACUCCUACGGGAGGCAGCAGUGGGGAAUUUUGGACAAUGGGGGCAACCCUGAUCCAGCCAUG
RNAcentral lists this ribosomal RNA (379 nucleotides) under uncultured Rhodocyclaceae bacterium. RNAcentral describes it as "bacterial SSU rRNA". It matches the Rfam family "Bacterial small subunit ribosomal RNA", at positions 17 to 396 of the family's 1533-position model. Lineage: Bacteria; Pseudomonadati; Pseudomonadota; Betaproteobacteria; Rhodocyclales; Rhodocyclaceae. The record is from RNAcentral.